AGACCGAUAGCGAACAAGUAGAGUGAUCGAAAGGUUAAAAGCACCUUGAAAAGGGAGUUAAACAGCACGUGAAAUUGUUGAAAGGGAAGCGCUUGCGGCCAGAUUCGGGGGCGGGGUUCAGCGGGUGCUCGUCGCCCGUGUAUUCCUCGUCUCCCGGGCCAGCAUCAGUUUCGACGGCCGGUCAAAGGCCCCCGGAAUGUGUCGUCUCUCGGGACGUCUUAUAGCCGGGGGUGCAAUGCGGCCCGUCGGGACUGAGGAACGCGCUCCGGCUCGGAUGCUGGCGUAAUGGCCGUAAGCGGCCCGUCUUGAAACACGGACCAAG
Molecule: ribosomal RNA, 322 nt
Filed under: Trichophyton benhamiae
Lineage: Eukaryota; Fungi; Ascomycota; Eurotiomycetes; Onygenales; Arthrodermataceae
Description: eukaryotic LSU rRNA
Rfam family: Eukaryotic large subunit ribosomal RNA
Source: RNAcentral